This 434-nucleotide ribosomal RNA is filed under the name uncultured archaeon. RNAcentral's name for it is "bacterial SSU rRNA". It matches the Rfam family "Archaeal small subunit ribosomal RNA", at positions 19 to 458 of the family's 1478-position model. The record is from RNAcentral.
GGACCUGACUGCUAUCGGAUUGAUACUAAGCCAUGCGAGUCAUUGUAGCAAUACAGGGCAUACGGCUCAGUAACGCGUAGUCAACCUAACCUAUGGACGGGAAUAACCUCGGGAAACUGAGAAUAAUGCCCGAUAGAACAUUAUACCUGGAAUGGUUUAUGUUCCAAAUGAUUUAUCGCCGUAGGAUGGGACUGCGGCCUAUCAGUUUGUUGGUGAGGUAAUGGCCCACCAAGACUAUUACAGGUACGGGCUCUGAGAGGAGUAGCCCGGAGAUGGGUACUGAGACACGGACCCAGGCCCUAUGGGGCGCAGCAGGCGAGAAAACUUUGCAAUGUGCGAAAGCACGACAAGGUUAAUCCGAGUGAUUUCUGCUAAAGAAAUCUUUUGUUAGUCCUAGAAACACUAACGAAUAAGGGGUGGGCAAGUUCUGGUGU